This 153-nucleotide long non-coding RNA is filed under the name Canis lupus familiaris (dog). Its description in RNAcentral is "lncRNA (ENSCAFG00000053057.1)". Lineage: Eukaryota; Metazoa; Chordata; Mammalia; Carnivora; Canidae. The record is from RNAcentral.
GGGACAUCUGAGGGCUUCUGAUAUACUCAAUGGUCUCAUAAUCUGGUUGGGUUUGCAAAGUGCACACCAAAGACUCCAGAGAAGACGUUGCCAGUUCAUAUCACAAAUGUUGUUCUCUUGAAGCCCAUGAGUGAGUGAAAGAAGGUAAGACCC